Non-coding RNA from Caenorhabditis elegans, 232 nucleotides. Lineage: Eukaryota; Metazoa; Nematoda; Chromadorea; Rhabditida; Rhabditidae. The record is from Ensembl.
GCAAAAAUCGUGCUCAAUAAGACAAGGCCCUACUACAGUCGACGGUUCCAGCCAAAUAAGCCGGCAAAGCAGCUCCAACACCACUCCCACCAUGGCAAACGUCACCGACGGCAUAGGGGACAGUUAGCUGGCACGGAAUACCUAUCAAAAAACCGAAAUCAGUGAAUCGUAAGCCGAUCCAAGACAACUUCAGUCCAAGGAGCAACAGAUGCUUAAAAAACGACAACGUCAC